Molecule: ribosomal RNA, 134 nt
Filed under: uncultured soil bacterium
Lineage: Bacteria
Description: partial 16S ribosomal RNA
Rfam family: Bacterial small subunit ribosomal RNA
Source: RNAcentral
UACGGGAGGCAGCAGUGGGGAAUAUUGGACAAUGGGCGAAAGCCUGAUCCAGCAAUGCCGCGUGAGUGAUGAAGGCCUUAGGGUUGUAAAGCUCUUACCCGGGAUGAUAAUGACAGUACCGGAGAGAGCCGCCA